Molecule: non-coding RNA, 80 nt
Filed under: pig gut metagenome
Description: NiCo riboswitch
Rfam family: NiCo (Nickel/Cobalt) riboswitch aptamer
Source: RNAcentral
AGUACAAACUGAACAGGCCGGGGAGCCUCCCUGGGGCCGGGUCACGCUACGUGGCAGUGGAUGAACAUCCGCGGGACAGU